AGUGAACGCUGGCGGUAGGCCUAACACAUGCAAGUCGAACGGCAGCACAGUAAGAGCUUGCUCUUACGGGUGGCGAGUGGCGGACGGGUGAGGAAUACAUCGGAAUCUACUUUUUCGUGGGGGAUAACGUAGGGAAACUUACGCUAAUACCGCAUACGACCUACGGGUGAAAGCAGGGGAUCUUCGGACCUUGCGCGAUUGAAUGAGCCGAUGUCGGAUUAGCUAGUUGGCGGGGUAAAGGCCCACCAAGGCGACGAUCCGUAGCUGGUCUGAGAGGAUGAUCAGCCACACUGGAACUGAGACACGGUCAAGACUCCUACGGGAGGCAGAAGUGGGGAAUAUUGGACAAUGGGCGCAAGCCUGAUCCAGCCAUACCGCGUGGGUGAAGAAGGCCUUCGGGUUGUAAAGCCCUUUUGUUGGGAAAGAAAAGCAGCAGGUUAAUACCCCGCUGUUCUGACGGUACCCAAAGAAUAAGCACCGGCUAACUUCGUG
RNAcentral lists this ribosomal RNA (492 nucleotides) under uncultured bacterium. Its description in RNAcentral is "partial 16S ribosomal RNA". It matches the Rfam family "Bacterial small subunit ribosomal RNA", at positions 29 to 507 of the family's 1533-position model. The record is from RNAcentral.